UACGAAGGGGGCAAGCGUUGUUCGGAUUUACUGGGCGUAAAGCGUGCGUAGGCGGUUUGACAAGUCAGGAGUGAAAUCCCAGGGCUUAACCCUGGAAUUGCUUUUGAAACUGUCUUACUUGAGUCCCGGAGAGGUUGACGGAAGUCCCAGUGUAGAGGUGAAAUUCGCAGAUAUUGGGAGGAACACCAGUGGCGUAAGCGGUCAACUGGACGGGUACUGACGCUGAGGUACGAAAGCAUGGGUAGCAAACAGG
RNAcentral lists this ribosomal RNA (253 nucleotides) under uncultured bacterium. RNAcentral's name for it is "partial 16S ribosomal RNA". It matches the Rfam family "Bacterial small subunit ribosomal RNA", at positions 524 to 776 of the family's 1533-position model. The record is from RNAcentral.